UACGGGGGCGCAGCAGGCGCGAAAACUUUACAAUGCGGGAAACCGUGAUAAGGGAACACCGAGUGCCAGCAUCAUAUGCUGGCUGUCCAGAUGUGUAAACUACAUCUGUUAGCAAGGGCCGGGCAAGACCGGUGCCAGCCGCCGCGGUAACACCGGCGGGCCGAGUGGUGACCGUUAUUAUUGGGUCUAAAGGGUCCGUAGCCGGUUUGGUCAGUCCUCCGGGAAAUCUGAUAGCUUAACUGUUAGGCUUUCGGGGGAUACUGCCAGGCUUGGAACCGGGAGAGGUAAGAGGUACUACAGGGGUAGGAGUGAAAUCUUGUAAUCCCUGUGAGACCACCUGUGGCGAAGGCGUCUUACCAGAACGGGUUCGACGGUGAGGGACGAAAGCUGGGGGCACGAACCGGAUUAGAUACCCGGGUAGUCCCAGCCGUAAACUAUGCGCGUUAGGCGUAUCGGUGACACGAGUUACCGAGGUGCGAAGGGAACCGUGAAACGUGCCGCCUGGGAAGUACGGUCGCAAGGCUGAAACUUAAAGGAAUUGGCGGGGGAGCACCACAACAGGUGGAGCCUGCGGUUUAAUUGGACUCAACGCCGGGAAGCUCACCGGAUAAGACAGCAGAAUGAUUGCCGGGCUGAAGACUCUGCAUGACUAGCUGAGAGGAGGUGCAUGGCCGUCGUCAGUUCGUACUGUGAAGCAUCCUGUUAGUCAGGCAACGAGCAAGACCCACGCCAACAGUUGCCAGCAUGGUCUCCGGACUGAUGGGGACACUGUUGGGACCGCCUCUGCUAAAGAGGAGGAAGGAAUGGGCAACGGUAGGUCAGCAUGCCCCGAAUUAUCCGGGCUACACGCGGGCUACAAUGGGCAGGACAACGGGCAUCGACACCGAAAGGUGAAGGCAAUCUCCUAAACCUGUCCUUAGUUCGGAUUGUGGGCUGCAACUCGCCCACAUGAAGCUGGAAUCUGUAGUAAUCGCGUUUCAAAAUAACGCGGUGAAUUUGUCCCUGCUCCUUGCACACACCGCCCGUCAAACCACCCGAGUGGGGUUUGGAUGAGGUUGCGGUUGUUGCCGCAGUCGAAUCUAGGUUCCGCAAGGGGGGUUAAGUCGUAACAAGGUAGCCGUA
Molecule: ribosomal RNA, 1122 nt
Filed under: uncultured archaeon
Lineage: Archaea
Description: partial 16S ribosomal RNA
Rfam family: Archaeal small subunit ribosomal RNA
Source: RNAcentral